This 3361-nucleotide long non-coding RNA is filed under the name Mustela putorius furo (domestic ferret). Its description in RNAcentral is "lncRNA (ENSMPUG00000027125.1)". The record is from RNAcentral. Lineage: Eukaryota; Metazoa; Chordata; Mammalia; Carnivora; Mustelidae.
UUUUACAAGCACGGGAGCAGCCAAACCUUUGACCGUCUGAAGACAGUAACAGUGUCUCUCUCUUUAGCCUUCUCUCCUUCUGGUCACACUGGAGACCUCUCACCCCAGAUCUUUCGGCCACUUCCUGUGUCAUGAUUUCUAGAUUCUUCUCGACUGUCCUCCAGGGAACACACUCUCACUUCCACGGCCAUUCUUGAAACGGCCAGAACGUAUGACAGCACUCCAAGUGUGGUUUGAACAGCUCAGCUUGCAACACCACUGGAUACUAUAAUUCCAGGGAUGCAAUUUAACAUUUCAUUAAACUUACAGCACACUAAGUUUGCACUCAAUUCAGACUCCCAAAUCUCUUUUGCCAAACUGGUGCCAAGAUGAAUCUUUCCCAACGAAUGCUUGUGUAACUGACUUUGGAUCCAGAACAGAUGUGCCACGCAGCUGUCACGGGCUGUGAAAUCACCGAGUACAUCGUCAGGCACGUACAGGAGCUAAAUCCAGGAGCCAACAACCCUUGGGAGGUUACCCAGCUGGAUGGCACAGCGAGCCAGUGCCCUUUCCUGCCUUGGAUGGCUUUCGAGGGCAAUCUCCAAGCAAUCCUGACAUCUGCGUUGUGCCUCUCUUCACCCAGACCAAACUCUUUGCAGGCUCUACUCGGAAAACCAACCAAACAAACAAACAGACAGCCUGUGUUCUUCCUUCAAACCCCCAGCCUUCUGCAGAGGGGCAGGACACUUCCAGGGACCUCAGCAGCCACAGCGCCAAUCUGGAAUCGCCCAUGGCCGAAUCUCCCUUCUCUGUCACCUGAGUUUCUGCGAAAGCCCUGGGUUGUGCUGACUGGAGUUGGGGAUGCCGAGGCCAUGUGUCCCAGAGUGUAUGGGCCUCCGGGGGUUGCAUGAUGUGAGCCCUUUGGGAGGACACUCCCCAGGCUCGCCUGCAGGGCUUUGAGGUUUCCAGCGAGCUCAGCACUUAGCAGAACCGCCCUUUGUUAAUACUGACUUUUCGGAACGUUCAUGCCCGGGGGAGGAGGGCGGACAGUUUGCUCCUUUUGCAGUGGGGUGAGCCCUUUGUGCCUGAUGCCCCUGAAGCACGAUCGCUCUCAAAUCAUCGCCUGAAUUCAGACUCACUUCCCUAAAACAAAUUAUUGUUCAUGCUCACUGCUGGGGGAAAAAGAAUCUUUUUAUUUUAAAUUCCAGAAUAUUCUUGCCAUCAGCUCAAUAAAAUGCAGCUCCUACAGCUUGGACCUGGUCCUUUUUUUUCUGUGACCGAUUUCUGCCUAGCCAGGGGCCCCGGCACAGCGGCUACAGAAGGGCACCGCGAAGCUGGGAGCGAGGAUGUGGGGAGCAGUGAUGACUCUGCCAGAAGGGAUUGCGGGGAAGCCGCCUGACGCAGCCACGUGACGGUGCUGCCCACUGCGGUCUGCACAUCCACGCCGGUUUCUAAAGAAGACAGAAAUCUGGCUUUGUAUAUGACAUCUACUGAUUUUUUAAAAUAGGACCAAUUUUUUUUUUUUUAAUUUCUGCUUGAAAUAAAGCUGUGUCCAGGGCACCUGGGUGGCUCAGUGGGUUAAGCCUCUGCCUUUGGCUCAGGUCAUGGUCUCAGGGUCCUGGGUUCGAGCCGCGCAUUGGGCUCUCUGCUCGGCAGGGAGCCUGUUUCCCUUCCUCUCUCUCUCUGCCUGCCUCUCUGCCUACUUGUGAUCUCUGUCUGUCAAAUAAAUAAAUAAAAUCUUUAAAAAAAAAAAAAGAAAAGAAAUAAAGCUGUGUCCAAGGGCAAACCUUUGCACUUGACUCUGCUCUUCUAACAGGCAGAAAACACUGUCACGUUUUGCAAAAAGGAGAAAUGGGGCCCUCGUCUAUCGCACAGUGGCCUGGUCAUAGUGAGUAUCUAAUGCUUUUUGUUAUUAUUAUUGUUAGGGUUUUUUUUUUUAAGGUUUCAUUUAUUUAUCUGAGAGAGAGAAAUAAAGAGAACAUGGAGGGUCGGGAGGGCCAGAAGGAAAGAGAGAAGCAGGCUCCCGGCUGACCAGGGAAUCCGAUGUGGGACUCGAUCCCAGGACCUGGGGAUCAUGACCUGAGCCGAAGGCAGAUGUUUAACCAAUGGAGCCACCCAGGUGCCCUAUUUGAUAUGUCUUCAAUGAACAAAUGAAUGAUUGUUCUCUUGAACUUCAGGAAACCCCUAGGUGUAUUUCUACCAUUGAAAGGACUCCAUGUGUCCCUGCAUGUCUGGACCUGCCCUAAAAGUACAAAUACUAAUAUCUGGCAGUCACUCUCUUCCCUAUUCCUCGAAAGGAUGCUUUUCUCCACAGAGACACAGUCCAGAAAACAACCCUUCUUGGUACCUUAUGAUACAAUGUUUUAUUUACUAGACCUAAAUAUAAACUUUGGCUACAUUUUCUCACAGGAAGAAAUUCUUAAAAUGUUUAUUAUAUUUUCCUUCUUUUAUAUUUAGCCUUGUUCAAUUUUAUGUCUAGAAUUUUCUUCCCACUUUUAGUUUAUAAUCUACCUGCUAUCCUCCCAAAUUUCAUAAAUAGGCUGUCUAGUUUCCAUCAGGGAAUCUUGACACAAAGACAAGUGAUGGGAGUAUAAAGAUGGGGGUCUGGGACAUUUCUCCAUUUGCCUGGGAAGCAUUUAUCAAGGGCCCAUUCACUCAGCAUAUAUGUACGAGCACCUAGUACGUGCCAGGCACUGUUCCAGGCACUGUUCCAGGCACUGGGGAUAUAGCGGUAAACAAAGCUAAUCAAUGUCCCAGCCCUCAUGGAGUCUUCAUGUGAGCCAGGGGAAAGUAAACAAGGUAAGCACUACAGAGAGAAUACUGGGAUAGUGAUGUCCGUUCAGGAGAAAUACAUAAAGCCAUGAAAGGAAAUAAGGACAUUGCAAGGGGAGGGGAGUGAGGAGGAGGGGAAAGUUGAAAGUGCCAUCACCUGGUUGACUAUUUUUUUAAGAUUUUAUUUUUUUAAAGUAAUCUCUACACCCAACGUGGGGCUUGAACCCACAACCCCGAGAUCAAGAGUCAUAGGCUCUACUGACUGAGCCACCCAGGCGCCCCGGGUUUACUAUUUUAUUUCUAUUUUGAUGCCGGUCUGCCCAUGAGCUUUAUACAUUUAUCAACUAGACGUGAUGUUUUUCUUAAAAAUUAUGAAUUAUUUACCUAACAAAUGCAUCAAAUUAUUCCCCUCCCGUUUUGUUACAAGUGUUCCUCACCCCUCCUGACAAAUCUCCUUUCUCUCCAAAGCACCUCACUGGCAGCUUGUUGCUUUACUGACUCUUACUCCUUUUCCCUUCCUUCUUCCGCCCUUGCUCAUGGAGACGUGCGCUGAUUUCAUUCAUUUCAUAAACACCACGUCCCGCCUGACAGGGAGGGCGCUGGGAUCCCG